Molecule: ribosomal RNA, 468 nt
Filed under: uncultured bacterium
Lineage: Bacteria
Description: partial 16S ribosomal RNA
Rfam family: Bacterial small subunit ribosomal RNA
Source: RNAcentral
GACGAACGCUGGCGGCGUGCCUAACACAUGCAAGUCGAACGGAAAGGCCCUGCUUUUGUUGGGUGCUCGAGUGGCGAAAGGGUGAGUAACACGUGAGUAAACUGCCCUUGUAUUUGGGGUAACUUUAGGAAACUGGGGCUCAUACCCGAUAGGAGCUCCUGCAGCACGGUGGGGGUUGGAAAGUUUCGGCGGUUGGGGAUGGACUCGCGGCUUAUCAGCUUGUUGGUGGGGUAGUGGCUUACCAAGGCUUUGACGGGUAGCCGGCCUGAGAGGGUGACCGGCCACAUUGGGACUGAGAUACGGCCCAGACUCCUACGGGAGGCAGCAGUGGGGAAUAUUGCACAAUGGGCGGAAGCCUGAUGCAGCAACGCCGCGUGCGGGAUGACGGCCUUCGGGUUGUAAACCGCUUUCGCCUGUGACGAAGCGUGAGUGACGGUAAUGGGUAAAGAAGCACCGGCUAACUACGUG